CUACGGGCGGCAGCAGUGGGGAAUCUUGGACAAUGGGCGCAAGCCUGAUCCAGCCAUGCCGCGUGAGUGAAGAAGGUCUUCGGAUUGUAAAGCUCUUUUGCCAGGGACGAUAAUGACGGUACCUGGAGAAUAAGCCCCGGCAAACUUCGUGCCAGCAGCCGCGGUAAUACGAAGGGGGCUAGCGUUGUUCGGAAUUACUGGGCGUAAAGCGCACGUAGGCGGGUCGUUAAGUCAGGGGUGAAAUCCCGGAGCUCAACUCCGGAACUGCCUUUGAUACUGGCGAUCUUGAGAUCGGAAGAGGUGAGUGGAAUUCCCAGUGUAGAGGUGAAAUUCGUAGAUAUUGGGAAGAACACCAGUGGCGAAGGCGGCUCACUGGUCCGAUACUGACGCUGAGGUGCGAAAGCGUGGGGAGCAAACAGGAUUAGAUACCCUCGUAGUC
This 439-nucleotide ribosomal RNA is filed under the name uncultured bacterium. Its description in RNAcentral is "partial 16S ribosomal RNA". It matches the Rfam family "Bacterial small subunit ribosomal RNA", at positions 339 to 795 of the family's 1533-position model. The record is from RNAcentral.